AGAGGAUGCAACGUGCUGUAUCACCCAUCAGAAUUGUCAGACCGAUCAACUUAGCCGUGCUCAGUUGAUGCUGAUGAUCUGAAGAUGUUGCCACGAAAGAAGACGUCCUGGGUGUGUGUUGCCCUGUGGACUCUUGCUCUGGUGCUGAUUUCCCCGAGAGUGGAAAGUGUGAAGGACAUUGAAGAUGUACCUGAAGAAUUUCAGCGCUUAGAAAACUACCGAGUCGUCUU
Long non-coding RNA from Bufo gargarizans (Asiatic toad), 230 nucleotides. RefSeq lists it as uncharacterized. The transcript is spliced from 3 exons. The record is from RefSeq and is a predicted model, not a curated record. Lineage: Eukaryota; Metazoa; Chordata; Amphibia; Anura; Bufonidae.